Molecule: ribosomal RNA, 253 nt
Filed under: uncultured Ktedonobacter sp.
Lineage: Bacteria; Bacillati; Chloroflexota; Ktedonobacteria; Ktedonobacterales; Ktedonobacteraceae
Description: partial 16S ribosomal RNA
Rfam family: Bacterial small subunit ribosomal RNA
Source: RNAcentral
UACGUAGGGGGCGAGCGUUGUCCGGAGUUACUGGGCGUAAAGCGCACGCAGGCGGUCUCCCAAGUUCGGAGUGACAGUGCUCAGCUUAACUGAGCAAGGCCUUUGAAAACUGGGGGACUUGAGGGCUUCAGAGGGACACGGAAUUCCGGGUGGAGUGGUGAAAUGCGUAGAGAUCCGGAGGAACACCAAUGGCGAAGGCAGUGUCCUGGGAAGUCACUGACGCUCAGGUGCGAAAGCUAGGGGAGCGAACGGG